RNAcentral lists this ribosomal RNA (254 nucleotides) under uncultured bacterium. RNAcentral describes it as "partial 16S ribosomal RNA". It matches the Rfam family "Bacterial small subunit ribosomal RNA", at positions 527 to 779 of the family's 1533-position model. The record is from RNAcentral.
CGGAGGGGCUAGCGUUGUUCGGAAUUACUGGGGCGUAAAGCGCGCGUAGGCGGUUCUUCAAGUCAGAGGUGAAAGCCCGGUGCUCAACACCGGAAUUGCCUUUGAAACUAGGGAACUUGAAUCCAGGAGAGGUGAGUGGAAUUCCGAGUGUAGAGGUGAAAUUCGUAGAUAUUCGGAAGAACACCAGUGGCGAAGGCGGCUCACUGGACUGGUAUUGACGCUGAGGUGCGAAAGCGUGGGGAGCAAACAGGAUU